UGUAAAUUAAUGGCAUUCAUAAUCUAAUCACGUUGGAAAUUCAUUCAAAAACCACUUAUACGUUUUUUUUCAAUAAUGCUCAUGACAGUGCAUUUAUUAUAAUAAUUUUAUAGGUCAUCGGAAACAUAAUUCUUUAUUAUUUGUAACUCCCAAAAUAGGAUGCCUUCUCAAUACUCUACAUCUAUAAAUAUGCAGCAUGUGUAAAAUUAUAAUUCACUUCUUCAUUGUCUUCCCUUAUGUAUUAUAUAAUUAUUACCAACAAUUAGAAUAUAUUGAAACUACGGAAUUCACGUUCCUAAACUAUCUACAACCUAGCAAUACUUCGUCAGCCAUUCGAGUCUGAAGCGUGCGUGUUUAUGAAUUCAUGAAACAUGGAGACAAAUCCAAUGUAAUCUACUUGGAAUGUGUUUUUCACGAACGUGUGGUAUGAGUGUCGUUUAUUAUCUUAUUACGUUUUUUUAGUUUUUUAUUUAGAACCAUUAAUUAUUUAUUUUUUCCAUGCAAGGCACUAGGAUUCAAGGUACAUUUCUUGCAAUUUAUAAAAUAAGUUUUGUGACCAAAUUAAGGAAGGUUUAAAUGUUACUAUUUACCAUUUUUUUUGUAAGAAGUGGAGGAUAUACUCUUAUUUCAGAUCAUGAAUUCAAAAUUAUUAUGUGCUCCAAAACACGGAUAUUUGAAGUCAUCGACCCCAAAUUUCCAAGAUUUAUUGUUUAUAAGACAAUUGAUCUAAUCAAGCAUAUACAAAAAAUAGAUAUAAAAAUGGUGUGAUUAUUGACCCCGACAAGGUUAUUACACAAUUUAAUUCUCGACCGUAAAGGACUGAAGAUUUUAGUUUGUAACAAAGAUAGUGAUGGCACUUUGUGAUUUUUCUAUUAAUUAAUGUUGUUUACAAAUAAGUUUUACAAAAUGUAUAAAAUAUGGAAUAUUAAAUUGUAAUUGUGUUAACUUUUGUUAAUGUUUGAUUUUAUAUA
Molecule: long non-coding RNA, 971 nt
Organism: Salvia splendens (bonfire salvia)
Lineage: Eukaryota; Viridiplantae; Streptophyta; Magnoliopsida; Lamiales; Lamiaceae
Exons: 2
Source: RefSeq, a predicted model, not a curated record